This 1098-nucleotide ribosomal RNA is filed under the name Minisyncoccota bacterium. RNAcentral describes it as "bacterial SSU rRNA". It matches the Rfam family "Bacterial small subunit ribosomal RNA", at positions 396 to 1533 of the family's 1533-position model. The record is from RNAcentral. Lineage: Bacteria; Bacillati; Minisyncoccota.
GCCGCGUGCGGGAAGAAGGCCUUCGGGUCGUAAACCGCUUUUGCGUGGGAAGAAUUUUGACGGUACCACGAGAAUAAGGGGUUGCUAACUCUGUGCCAGCAGCAGCGGUAAUACAGAGACCCCGAGCAUUAUCCGGAAUUACUGGGCGUAAAGCGAAAGUCACCGGUCGUGUUAGUCUGAUGUUAAAUCAUGGGGCCCAACUUCAUGUCUGCAUCGGAAACGGCACGGCUUGAGCGAAUGAGAGGAGAGCGGAACGUAUGGUGUAGGGGUGAAAUCCACUGAUAUCAUACGGAACACCAAAAGCGAAGGCAGCUCUCUAGCGUUCUGCUGACGGUCAAUUUCGAAAGCGUGGGGAUCAAAAAGGAUUAGAUACCCUUGUAGUCCACGCCCUAAACUAUGCACACUAGCUAUUGGGAGCAUCGACCCUUCCAGUGGCGAAGCUAACGCGUUAAGUGUGUCGCCUGGGAAGUACGAUCGCAAGAUUAAAACUCAAAGAAAUAGGCGGGAACUCGCACAAGCAGUGGAUCAUGUGGUUCAAUUCGACUCUAACCGAGAAACCUCACCAGGGCUUGAAAUCCAAAGGAAAUCCCGCAGAAACGUGGGACCCCGAAAGGCCGUUGGACAGGUGCUGCACGGCUGUCGUCAGCUCGUCUCGUGAGAGGUCUCCUUAAGUGGAUCAACGAGCGCAACCCCUAUCGUGUGUUAUACGUGUCACACGAGACUGCUGCGGUAACGCAGAGGAAGGUGGGGAUGACGUCAAGUCAGCGUGGCCCUCUGAUGCCCUGGGCUACACACAUGAUACAAUGGACGCGACAACGGGUCGCCAAACCGCGAGGUGGAGCUAAUCCCAUCAAACGCGUCCUCAGUUCGGAUAGGAGGCUGCAACUUGCCUCCUUGAAGCUGGAAUUGCUAGUAAUCGCGGAUCAGCAUGCCGCGGUGAAUACGUUCUCGAGUUUUGCACUCACUGCCCGUCAACUCAAGGGAGCCGGUAAUACCUGAAGACCCCUACAUUCCUGGGGGGACACGGUAGGAUCGGUAACAGGGAGUAAGUCGUAACAAGGCAAGGCUAGCGGAAGCUGGUCUUGGAUCACCUCCUUU